RNAcentral lists this ribosomal RNA (484 nucleotides) under uncultured bacterium. Its description in RNAcentral is "partial 16S ribosomal RNA". It matches the Rfam family "Bacterial small subunit ribosomal RNA", at positions 28 to 507 of the family's 1533-position model. The record is from RNAcentral.
GUUGAACGCUGGCGGCAUGCCUAACACAUGCAAGUCGAGCGGAUGAAGGGAGCUUGCUCCUGGCUUCAGCGGCGGACGGGUGUGUGAUGCCCACGAAUCUGCCUGGUAGUGGGGGCUAACGUCCGUAAACGGGCGCUAAUACCACAUACGUCAUGAGGUUGAACCAGGGGGCUCUUUGGACCUCACGCUUUCUGAUGAGAAUAGGUCGGAUUAGCUAGUUGGUGGGGUAAAGGCCUACCAUGGCGACGAUCCGUAGCUGGUCUGAGAGGAUGAUCAGACACACUGGAACUGAGACACGGUCCAGACUCCUACGGGAGGCAGCAGUGGGGAAUCUUGGGCAAAGGGCGAAAGCCUGAUCCAGCCAUGCCGCGUGUGUGAAGAAGGUCUUCGGAUUGUAAAGCACUGUAAGUUGGGAGGAAGGGCAGUGAGAUAAUACAUGGCUGUAUUGACGUUACCAACAAAAUAAGCACCGGCUAACUUCGUG